UUUUCUCUUCCUCAACUUCUCCUUUUUUUUCUUCUCCGCUUUUGUUUCUCCUCCUUUAUUCUUUUGCAUCCAUGUCGUUUUUGUUUCUCUUCCUUUAUUCUUUUGCGUCCAUUCAUAUUUUGUUUCACGUUAAUAUUCUAUUUUUCCCUUUUUUGUCUAAUUUUUUGUGGUUUGAUUUUUAGGACAGUCUAACGAUGGUGCUGAAGGUUACGAGGCUUUGCCCAUGGAAGAGUUGGGAUAGGUUACUAAAGAAUAAAGGUUACGACGCUUUGCCCAUGGAAGGGUUGCAACAAUAGGACUCGAGGUUACUGUUCUUUUUCGAGAGAAGUUGGAAGAACACAUUAAAACUGUCAUUUUUAUCUCAAAAGCUCCAUGACUACAGAGAAGGUGGAUGAACACAUUAAAGUUGCGAUUUUUAUCCCAAAAACUUCAUCAGUACACAAAAGCUUAAAUUUUUUUGGGUGUUCUGCCUUUAUUUUGUUUUCUACAUGAGUACAGG
Glycine soja is the source of this 499-nucleotide long non-coding RNA. RefSeq lists it as uncharacterized. Lineage: Eukaryota; Viridiplantae; Streptophyta; Magnoliopsida; Fabales; Fabaceae. The record is from RefSeq and is a predicted model, not a curated record. The transcript is spliced from 4 exons.